AGGCGAAACCGGGGCAAAAUCCCCGGUCCGCCCGGUUUGGCAACCGGGUGCUGAUGAGCCUGCCGACG
This 68-nucleotide non-coding RNA is filed under the name Planctomycetota bacterium. The record is from RNAcentral. Lineage: Bacteria; Pseudomonadati; Planctomycetota.